GACGAACGCUGGCGGCGUGCUUAACACAUGCAAGUCGAACGGAAAGGCCUUGCUUUUUUGGGGUGCUCGAGUGGCGAACGGGUGAGUAACACGUGAGUAACCUGCCCUUGACUUUGGGAUAACUUCAGGAAACUGGGGCUAAUACCGGAUAGGAGCUCCUGCUGCUUGGUGGGGGUUGGAAAGUUUCGGCGGUUGGGGAUGGACUCGCGGCUUAUCAGCUUGUUGGUGUGGUAGUGGCUUACCAAGGCUUUGACGGGUAGCCGGCCUGAGAGGGUGACAGGCCACAUUGGGACUGAGAUACGACCCAGACUCCUACGGGAGGCAGCAGUGGAGAAUAUAGCACGAUGGGCGGAAGCCUGGUGCAGCAACGCCGCGUGCGGGAUGACGGCCUUCGGGUUGGAAACCGCUUUCGCCUAAGACGAAGCGUGAGUGACGGUAAUGGGUAAAGAAGCACCGGCUAACUACGUG
This 468-nucleotide ribosomal RNA is filed under the name uncultured bacterium. RNAcentral's name for it is "partial 16S ribosomal RNA". It matches the Rfam family "Bacterial small subunit ribosomal RNA", at positions 28 to 507 of the family's 1533-position model. The record is from RNAcentral.